UUUGAGUGGUGAAAGGUCAAGGUCAUCUUUCAAGGUCAGAGGUCAAAUAUAUGUGGCCAAAAUCGCUCAUUUUAUGAAUACUUUGGCAAUAUUGAAGAUACCAACUUGAUAUUUGGCAUGCAUGUGUAUCUCAUGGAGCCGCACAUUUUGAGUGGUGAAAGGUCAAGGUCAUCCUUCAAGGUCAGAGGUCAAAUAUAUGUGGCCAAAAUCGCUCAUUUUAUGAAUACUUUGGCAAUAUUGAAGAUACCAACUUGAUAUUUGGCAUGCAUGUGUAUCUCAUGGAGCCGCACAUUUUGAGUGGUGAAAGGUCAAGGUCAUCCUUCAAGGUCAGAGGUCAAGUAUAUGUGGCCAAAAUCGCUCAUUUUAUGAAUACUUUGGCAAUAUUGAAGAUACCAACUUGAUAUUUGGCAUGCAUGUGUAUCUCAUGGAGCUGCACAUUUUGAGUGGUGAAAGGACAAGGUCA
Dreissena polymorpha is the source of this 463-nucleotide long non-coding RNA. RefSeq lists it as uncharacterized. The transcript has 3 exons. The record is from RefSeq and is a predicted model, not a curated record. NCBI's taxonomy places the organism in Eukaryota, Metazoa, Mollusca, Bivalvia, Myida, Dreissenidae.